This 425-nucleotide ribosomal RNA is filed under the name uncultured bacterium. Its description in RNAcentral is "partial 16S ribosomal RNA". It matches the Rfam family "Bacterial small subunit ribosomal RNA", at positions 354 to 796 of the family's 1533-position model. The record is from RNAcentral.
GUUAGGAAUAUUGGACAAUGGGCGCAAGCCUGAUCCAGCCAUGCCGCGUGAGUGAUGAAGGCCUUCGGGUUGUAAAGCUCUUUAGCCGAUGAUUAUAAUGACUGUAGUCGGAAAAUAAGCCCCGGCUAACUUCGUGCCAGCAGCCGCGGUAAUACGAAGGGGGCGAGCGUUAUUCGGAAUCACUGGGCGUAAAGCGUGCUUAGGCGGCUUUGCAAGUUGGGAGUGAAAGCCCAGGGCUCAACCCUGGAAUUGCUCUCAAAACUGCAAGGCUCGAAUUCGGGAGAGGAUAGCGGAAUUGUCAGUGUAGCAGUGAAAUGCGUAGAUAUUGACAGGAACACCAGUGGCGUAAGCGGCUAUCUGGACCGAUAUUGACGCUGAGGCACGAAAGCGUGGGGAUCAAACAGGAUUAGAAACCCUGGUAGUCC